GUUGGAUGAAAGGCUGUUUUCAUCAGGUUUUCUACAGUUUGAACAAGUUGGAAUGAAGGAAGAUUCGAUUAUUAGACAUUUCAGGAGAGUUACCUCAAAAAAAAAGGAAAAGGAAAAAAAGAAAAGACAGUUUUACAAACUCUUUGGAUGUGUGGAGAAUCUCAACUGUGUUACAAAUCAAGGAGGACACUACAAUGUAUGCAACUAGUUUCUGUGGACCUGCAGCCUGUCUUGAAUUUGAAAUGAGAUCUACAAACUGAU
This is a long non-coding RNA of Suricata suricatta (meerkat), 261 nucleotides long. RefSeq lists it as uncharacterized. The record is from RefSeq and is a predicted model, not a curated record. Lineage: Eukaryota; Metazoa; Chordata; Mammalia; Carnivora; Herpestidae. The transcript has 3 exons.